Molecule: non-coding RNA, 87 nt
Filed under: Clostridium sp.
Lineage: Bacteria; Bacillati; Bacillota; Clostridia; Eubacteriales; Clostridiaceae
Also listed under: 1 other name
Description: c-di-GMP sequence
Rfam family: c-di-GMP-I riboswitch aptamer
About the family: GEMM was predicted in a large-scale screen for bacterial structured RNA regulatory elements. Genes associated with GEMM are involved in a diverse array of functions, including chemotaxis regulation, signal transduction, secretion and chitin.
Source: RNAcentral
CAUAAAAAUAGGCAAACUUGUCGAAAGAUAGGGACGCAAAGCUAUGGGUCUAAGGAAAUAAUAUUCUAUGAUUGCCAGGUUGCACGU